Long non-coding RNA from Toxorhynchites rutilus septentrionalis, 410 nucleotides. RefSeq lists it as uncharacterized. The record is from RefSeq and is a predicted model, not a curated record. The transcript has 3 exons. NCBI's taxonomy places the organism in Eukaryota, Metazoa, Arthropoda, Insecta, Diptera, Culicidae.
GUAAACAAUCUGCAAUAUUUUGCAAUAUUUUUUUUUGCUUUUUGUGUGUGGAAUUGUUUUGGUGGCAAUGAGAGCAUUGAAAAGUUGAAAGCUCAAGAGAAUAAAUCGACUCUCGGUGUCGGUUGCUGACGGAGAUAUUUUUCCCGCGUUUUGCAGCUAGAGACGUCGGUUAAUCGUUCGAUCAAUUCAUAUAAUCGAAUAUCUGCAUCAGUAAUUUUAUAUCGAAUAAUUAAAAACCAAGAAAAAACAGUGCAAAAUUUGUUUAACCGUCAUGGUGUUUCGUCGAAAUUCAUCGAAUAUGCUAAAUCAUUUACGGUUGAGGCAUGAAAAUGAUUCCUUGGUGGUGAAGGAAACUGGGAAGAAGAAUUUAGGGUCUGCAGGAGUAAAAUGCGGACUUGAAGAAGGUGGUC